Long non-coding RNA from Amphibalanus amphitrite, 881 nucleotides. RefSeq lists it as uncharacterized. NCBI's taxonomy places the organism in Eukaryota, Metazoa, Arthropoda, Thecostraca, Balanomorpha, Balanidae. The transcript is spliced from 2 exons. The record is from RefSeq and is a predicted model, not a curated record.
UGAGAAACACAUUUUAGAACUUAUACUGAUAGUACUCACCUGAGUACCUUCGAUGGUUUCCAUUUUGCCGCUUUGAGGAAUUGGUCUUUCCCGAGAACUGUGCAUGGUCUCCACUUCGGUUUCAGGAGUGGAUUUGGUCUUGACCGAGAUAGUUUAGUACUGGAAGUUGUCUAGCUACCCGUGUAACGCAAACAGUCGGUCUGCGGUGAGAUUCGAACCAGCAGUCAUUCGGUCAGAAAGGAUGGUAAACUUCUCACUUUUUUCCUUAUAGUUCUCGCAGCUGACGUGUUUUGACGACAGAUGUCAGCACAGAAGGAAACUAAAGGCGUAGGUGGCGCUGUGUUAAGAGUAGAGCAGUUUGAAGUGCUGCGAUUCCAUUUUCGCUUAGGAAAAUAGCAAUUAUUGAUAAAAAUAAAACAUGUAUUUUUCAGUAGAAGAAAUAAUUUUUAAUGAAAAAGAGCCUUACUAUAUGACACGAUGUUUAUCGAUUUUAACAGUUCAAACCAAUUCAAAUGGAUAUCCCUAAGGAACACCUCUAUAAUGCCUCAGUGCUUCCGGUCCUUCCUUUCUCGAAAGCACUGCGAAGGCUGCCGGCAGCGUGGUUGUUCCUUUCGCGAGUUGGUGUCUGGCGCACAGCGCGAACGUCUCAUGAGCAAGAAGCCGUAGAGACGAUGCUCUCAAUGUUGGACACCGAAGUGAGGCAACUCAUCGGGCACAACGCCAAAAUGUCCCUGUUGUGUCCCGGCCCUGGGUCACGCGUGUCGCGCCUUGCCAGCCGUGACCUUGAACGACCUUGACCGGCCGGGCCGGGCCGAGCGGCCGAGGGUCAGUAUCGUCCGAGCGGCGCUGGUGUCAACACAGCUGAGUGCCGCGAGGUGAGG